GGGAACUACAAGCAUAAGCUUAAAACCCAAAGGACUUGGCGGUGCUUUAGAUCCCCCUAGAGGAGCCUGUUCUAGAACCGAUAACCCCCGUUUAACCUCACCUUUUCUUGUCACCCCCGCCUAUAUACCGCCGUCGUCAGCAUACCUUGUGAAAGCCUUGUAGUCCGCCUAAUUGGUAAAACCCAAAACGCCAGGUCAAGGUGUAGCAUAUGAGAAGGGAAGAAAUGGGCUACAUUUCCUUUCAAAGGAAAGACGAACUGUAUCAUGAAAUUGAUUCACGAAGGAGGAUUUAGCAGUAAGUAAAAGAUAGAGAACUAUACUGAACUCGGCCCUGAAGCACGCACACACCGCCCGUCGCUCUCCCCAAGCCAUAACCAUUUAAUUUUUAAACCACUAAACAGGCAAAGGGGAGACAAGUCGUAACAUGGUAAGUGUACCGGAAGGUGCACUUGGAAUAAU
RNAcentral lists this ribosomal RNA (459 nucleotides) under Fluviphylax pygmaeus. RNAcentral describes it as "partial 12S ribosomal RNA". It matches the Rfam family "Bacterial small subunit ribosomal RNA", at positions 875 to 1533 of the family's 1533-position model. The record is from RNAcentral. Lineage: Eukaryota; Metazoa; Chordata; Actinopteri; Cyprinodontiformes; Fluviphylacidae.